RNAcentral lists this ribosomal RNA (465 nucleotides) under uncultured bacterium. RNAcentral describes it as "bacterial SSU rRNA". It matches the Rfam family "Bacterial small subunit ribosomal RNA", at positions 338 to 795 of the family's 1533-position model. The record is from RNAcentral.
CCUACGGGGCGCACCAGUGGGGAAUAUUGCACAAUGGGCGCUAGCCUGAUGCAGCCAUGCCGCGUGUAUGAGGAAAGCCUUCGGGUUGUAAAGUACUUUCAGCGGGGAGGAAGGCGAUAAGGUUAAUAACCUUGUCGAUUGACGUUACCCGCAGAAGAAGCACCGGCUAACUCCGUGCCAGCAGCCGCGGUAAUACGGAGGGUGCAAGCGUUAAUCGGAAUUACUGGGCGUAAAGCGCGCGCAGGCGGUCUGUCAAGUCGGAUGUGAAAUCCCCGGGCUCAACCUGGGAACUGCAUUCGAAACUGGCAGGCUAGAGUCUUGUAGAGGGGGGUAGAAUUCCAGGUGUAGCGGUGAAAUGCGUAGAGAUCUGGAGGAAUACCGGUGGCGAAGGCGGCCCCCUGGACAAAGACUGACGCUCAGGUGCGAAAGCGUGGGGAGCAAACAGGAUUAGAUACCCGCGUAGUC